RNAcentral lists this ribosomal RNA (764 nucleotides) under Thryssa setirostris (longjaw thryssa). Its description in RNAcentral is "partial 16S ribosomal RNA". The stretch from base 1 to 506 matches the Rfam family "Bacterial large subunit ribosomal RNA", at positions 585 to 1301 of the family's 2925-position model. Lineage: Eukaryota; Metazoa; Chordata; Actinopteri; Clupeiformes; Engraulidae. The record is from RNAcentral.
GCAGAGAAUACCACUCGUACCUUUUGCAUCAUGAUUCAGCCAGUAAAAACAUGCGAAGAGACCUCUAGUUUGUAACCCCGAAAUCCGACGAGCUACUCCGGGACAGCCUAUCCAGGGCCAACCCGUCUCUGUGGCAAAAGAGUGGGAAGAUCCCCGAGUAGAGGCAAAAGACCUACCGAGUCCGAUUAUAGCUGGUUGCCCAAUAAAUGAAUAUAAGUUCAGCCCCGCAAAGCCCCAUUCACACUAGUCCUACUACAAAAGAUGAAGAGCCAUUAACGGGAGUUAGUCAGAAGAGGUACAGCUCUUCUGACAAAGGACACAACCUUGAGAGAAGAUUAAGGAAUAAAAUUAAACAAGGCCACAAGUCUCAGUGGGCCUGAAAGCAGCCACCUGAAUAGAAAGCGUUAAAGCUCAGACCAACCCCACGCCCCUUAUCAGAUUAAAUAAUCCAAAAUCUCUAUAACCACUGGGCCUCUCUAUGCACCCAUAGAAGAGAUCAUGCUGAAACGAGUAACAAGAAGAUCGAACUUCUCCCGGCACAAACGUAAGUCGGAUCGGACCCCCCACCGACAAUUAACGAACCCAAGAACAGAGGGCACCGCACCAUCACCACCCCUGGUCAAGAAAACCACGUCCCAUUAAUCGUUACCCCCACACAGGAGUGCUAAACCAAGGAAAGACUAAAAGAAAAAAAAGGAACUCGGCAAACCAAAACCCCGCCUGUUUACCAAAAACAUCGCCUCUUGCCACUACUAGUAUAAGAG